Molecule: ribosomal RNA, 463 nt
Filed under: uncultured bacterium
Lineage: Bacteria
Description: partial 16S ribosomal RNA
Rfam family: Bacterial small subunit ribosomal RNA
Source: RNAcentral
ACGAACGCUGGCGGCGUGCUUAACACAUGCAAGUCGAACGGAAAGGCCCUGCUUGCAGGGUAAUCGAGUGGCGAACGGGUGAGUAACACGUGGGUGAUCUGCCCUGCACUUCGGGAUAAGCCUGGGAAACUGGGUCUAAUACCGGAUAGGAGCCAUUUUUAGUGUGAUGGUUGGAAAGUUUUUUCGGUGUAGGAUGAGCUCGCGGCCUAUCAGCUUGUUGGUGGGGUAAUGGCCUACCAAGGCGGCGACGGGUAGCCGGCCUGAGAGGGUGGACGGCCACAUUGGGACUGAGAUACGGCCCAGACUCCUACGGGAGGCAGCAGUGGGGAAUAUUGCACAAUGGGCGCAAGCCUGAUGCAGCGACGCCGCGUGGGGGAUGACGGCCUUCGGGUUGUAAACUCCUUUCGCUAGGGACGAAGCUUUUGUGACGGUACCUAGAUAAGAAGCACCGGCUAACUACGUG